GCUGGAAGCGCCUUGGUUCCUGUCCUUUGUCGUGAGUCGGACUCAGUGGAAACAGGAGAAACAACUAGGAAUUGUCCAGCCAUCCAUGAUGCUACAGUCUUAACUCUGGCUGCACUCCAUUGAAGAAAAAACUCCCCUACUGGGCCUUGGAAUUGAAUACAGUAAGACACCUUAAGUAAAUGAAAAUCAAAAUAAAAAGUUGCAGAUGCUGGAAAUCUGAAAUAAAAGCAGAAACAGAUGCGACAGGUGUCAUAGAGGUGGAGGGUAUUGGACGUAUAUUUGCUGAAGAAACUCAACAAGGUAUCACGUCAAGUUCUGACAGUCACCCAAUUCAUCAGACUUUUGAAUGUGGGUGGAGAAAUGUUUGUUUGUUCUGCAAGUGGAUAAAGAUUUCAAUAUCAUUACGACUGGAAAACUACCAAGAAGCACGCACACACUUGAGAGAGAGUGCACCGGUGCCUUUGGAAAACACAGAUAGUCACAUAGCCUGCCAAAACAUUGUACUGUUAACAACGUGGAGAUACCAUACCUCUGUUCUGUGUGAGGACAAGGCUUCAAGUGAUUGUUCAGUCUGGAGAAAAACAGGGACACCUGCAACAUGGAGAAACCAUGGAAAUGUGGGGACUGUGGGAAGGGAUUUAAUUACCCAUCCCAGCUAGAAACACAUCGGCGCAGCCACACAGGGGAAAGGCCAUUUAUCUGCUCCUUGUGUGGAAAGGGAUUUACUAAAUCAUCUGGCCUUGUGACACACCAACGUAUUCACACAGGGGAGAGGCCAUUUACUUGUUCCUUGUGCGGGAAGAGAUUCACAGAGUUGUCCAAGCUCCAGGCACACCAGCGAGUUCACACCGAGGAGAGACCUUUCCAAUGUUCUGAGUGUGAUAAGAAAUACAAAAGUAAAAAUGAUCUCCUCACACACCAACGCACUCACACUGGGGAGAGACCAUUCACCUGCUCUGUGUGUGGGAAGAGAUUCUCUUGGUCAUCCAACUUGCUGCGACAUCAGCUUGUUCAUGCUGAUGACAGACCUUUUAAAUGCUCCGUCUGUGAGAAGAGCUUUAAAACUGCAAAGGAUCUGCUGACACACCAACUUGUUCACACUGACAACAGACCAUUUAAAUGCACCAUGUGCGAGAAGAGCUUUAAAAGCACACAGGAUCUGCUGACACACCAACGCACUCACACUGGGGAGAGGCCAUUCACCUGCUCUGUGUGUGGGAAGAGAUUUACCCGUUCAUCUGACCAGCUUAAACACGAACGAGUUCACUUAUGACUUGUAACAGGACUCUGAUGUUAAUCACAUUGCAGACUGAAUCAUGUUCAUUCCAAUGUUUAACAUUUAUUUCUGUAGAUUUUAAACUUUAGCUCAAUUAUAGGGGUAAUUGUUAUCAUCAUGGGUAAGCCAUCUAGUGUUGUGCCUGUCAGCACAGAUGCAGGAAUGAAUGAUGCCUGAACCUGUGUACUGUCUUUCCUCGAACAUAGUUUGGAUCAAGAGGAAUUCAGUUCACAGAGAACAGGACUGAAAAUCACUUAUGAGAGAAACAAAAGCAGUCAUUGGAGGAGCAAACAGGAGGAAAAAGUUGGUGCAAAAUUCUGGUAAUAAUCACAAAAACAUUUCCAACUAUGUAAGGAAUCAGCAGCCCCAUAAAGAUGGUUUAGGGCAACCGACUCGAACAGAUUCCCAUGCUUUGACAGGGUGGCAAAAUGACGAUUUUGUCUUAGUCUUUAGCCGUAUAAACGAUGCUCAGAUUCCAGGUAUGGGGUAACAGAUGCCAUAGAAUCAUGGACUCUGACAACACAAAAGGAGGAUUCUGCUAGGAAUAAUUGAGUGUGAUCCACUUCUCUGCUCUUUCCCCAACUUAGGGUCUUGGUCUUGGUCCUGCUCCAUCAUUCAGCAAGUUAGUGGCUGCUCUCUGAGCUUGGCCUCAACUCUACUUCCCUGCUUGUGCCCCAUAACCCCUGGAUUCCCCCUCAGCCUUGAUUCAGCCUUGAUCCCCACUCACAAGAGUAGAAAAAUAUAAGGAUUCAUAAUUGUCUGAGACAAGUUCCUUCUCAUCUCAAUCUGAAGUGACUGACACCAAUUCUACAGAUAUGCCCCUACUUCUUGAUCCUCUUCAGGCACAACAUUCUCACAUCUACCCGGUCCAGCCCCAUCAGGAUCAUGUCUCUGGGCGAUAACUUCAUUCUUCUAAACAGAAGAGAGUAUAUGUCCAAUCUUUUCUCAUAAAACACUGUGUUCUUCCCAGGAAUAAAUCUAAUACACAGCUUCAGAGGCAAGUAUAUUCUUUGUUAAAUAAGUAAACUAAACCAGUACACAGAGCAGGCCAAAGCAAGACUUCUGUUCUUUGUACUCCUUCCCUCUUGAAAUAAAUGCCAACUUUCACUUGGUAGUUGCAUGCUUAACCUGCAUGUUAACUUUGCGUGUCUUCUACAAGGCCAUCCAGGUACUUAUGAAUAGAAUCAGAAUCAGGUUUAUUAUCACUGACAUAUGUCGCGAAAUUUGUUGUCUUGUGGCAGCAAUUCAGUGCAAGACAUAAAAAUUACUAUAAGUUACAAAAAUAAAUAAAUAGUGCUGUCAUCCUGAAAUUAAUUUUCCCCUUCUGUCUGCUGUAAGUAACACAGUGCCACGAUGAGUUAUAAUCAAGCCAUUCAAAGGCAGGUAUCACCAUUCAUUAUUUAGACCAAGCCUCCACCUCGAUGUUAAUUACACCCAGUAUCGCCACAGUCUGACAUAUCGGAAUGCUCCAUUACCUGA
Pristis pectinata (smalltooth sawfish) is the source of this 2755-nucleotide RNA transcript. It is a transcript of the gene named gastrula zinc finger protein XlCGF71.1-like, with no coding region annotated. The transcript is spliced from 3 exons. NCBI's taxonomy places the organism in Eukaryota, Metazoa, Chordata, Chondrichthyes, Rhinopristiformes, Pristidae. The record is from RefSeq and is a predicted model, not a curated record.